Long non-coding RNA from Cottoperca gobio, 2152 nucleotides. RefSeq lists it as uncharacterized. The transcript has 4 exons. Lineage: Eukaryota; Metazoa; Chordata; Actinopteri; Perciformes; Bovichtidae. The record is from RefSeq and is a predicted model, not a curated record.
AAGAAAACGAACUAUUUUCACAAUGAUUGGGAGAAAAUGAGAGAAACCUUUCAGCACCGUCAGACGCUUGUUAAUGACCCAAGCAGAGGUGUUGAUAUCCUCUCCACCUUCCCAAGAUUCCUGGAUACCAAAGGAUUGGUGGAUCAAGACUUCACCCUCCUAUUUGAUCAUGAAACAUCCUCCAGGCUCCUUCAGAAAUGGGAUUCUUCAGUCCAAAUGUCAUAAAAGAGGCUAAGCGGCUUACUUCAACACCCAGAGUUGCGUCGCUUGUUACAGAGAGUCCCACAGGAAGUGAUCUUGAUGAGACAACAAUCAUGCUGCAGUUUGGAGGAGCAUCUCCGCAACCAGCAGGGUCGGCAGCCAUACCUCCUCGCUGUUGGGCUUCAGAAGAGCAAGAUUGACAGCUUCUACAUCACCAUGGAUAAGCAUCUCAUCCCACGCCAGGCAAACCGCUCCCUACCUUGGGGCUUUCGACAAACUUUCCAAAACCCAUUUUGUGUUUAAUUUGUCGUACGAUGCUGCGUUACUGAAUUUUUACACAUUCUUGCAGACAACAGUGUAUAACAGUGAUGUGGGGAAAAUGAAGGAGUCACCCAGAGUCAGAGACUUGAGAGCCAGACUGCUUGACCAGCUAGUACCGGUCUCACUCUCUGAGUAAGAGGCUGAAACAAUACUGACCGGUUUCAUGUGUCAGAAUUUGUAUCCCAGCAGCCAGAAGUUGAUGGUGUUAUACUGGAACCGUUGAUAAUUUAUAUAAAAUUACUGAAAACCCAAGGCCUUAGUCUUAGUAGUGUUUGAUUGAGAGGAAUGAUUCUCAAACAGUAUACAGUGAGGAAGAUCCCAAAGUGAUCCUUCGUGGAAGAAAUAUGUUUGAUAUGCAUUACAAAUGUCUCCAAGACAACCCACCAUUGAACUCCUUGUAUGGUUUGAAAGAGACUUCUACACUUAACUCAUUGAAUUAUUUCCAUGUUUGAAAUAAUUACUCAUUUGAUAUAAUGCAUGACCUUCUUGAGGGUGUGACUCAGUGUGAGAUCAAAUUGCUUUUUAAAUAUCUCACAAAAGACUUAAUAUCACAACUGAACUUGCUUUCCAGGAUUUAUGGUGUUGAUUACGGAUUUUUAGAACGAAAGAAACGUCCCACAAAGAUAAUUUUGGACAGUGCUGGUAAUGGCAUUGGUUUGAAUUCUAUUCAGACAUUGUGUCUUGUGAAAAACAUCCCACUGUUUGGUGACAUCAUUCCUGCAGGAAACGAAAACUGCAAUGUGUUACUGUUGUUACUUAAAAUAAUGAACAUGGUUGUGUCACUUUUUCUGACUCUAGGUACGACAAUAUAUUUAAAGCAUUUGAUUGUUGACCACCACAAACUAUUUAAGCACUUGUAUCCACAUAGAAACUUGCUACCGAAGCUAUUGGCUAUUGCUUAUCACUGGGAAACCUUCACCCUCAAAUAAAAAGAGUAUGGACCAAUUAAGACUUAUUCCCUCAGAGAUGUGAAUGUGGUCAACAAUGAAAUGCUUGAAAUGAUUUUGUCAAAAGAUGUUUUCUCAACUAGGUUAAAGUUGAUGGUGUGUAGAAUAUACAUCUGGACUUGUUUGUCUUUUGUCAAAUAUGUGAUGUACUUUUGGUUGAAGUUAACACAUUUUGUUUAUUAACAAGCUAUUCACCGAGAAUUCUUUUGAUGACCUUAAUCAUGCAUUUCUAGUGUUACAAAGUGAGGAAAGGUUCAUAAUAAAAAUGUCUGAGCUUAAAUUCCAAUAAGCCAUUUGAUAUUCAAAGCUCAUACAAUGUUUCAGAUGAAAGUUUGUACAUUGGCUUUGUUUAUUGGAAUUAAUGAAUAUAUUAUUUAAUAACAUAGUAAUUAGUGUUACUUUAACUCUGUUUUGUGAGUUAAAGAAGGAACUCUGGCACAGUGUUUUAACUAUUAUGAAAGGGUUCAUUUAACUCUGAAAAGUGUUGAAAUCAACUCUGGGAGUUAAUUCAACACUGGACUUUUUGCAAGGUCCAGGGUGUAAUAUAUAUGAAAUAUAUAUGAAAUGUUUUAUAGGUCUUAAUUACCAGCAAACUUUAGUCACGUUUAGAGAAUACAUUUAAAAACUAGCUUUAGUGGCAUUAUAAAGUAUUUUAAAGCAUUUAGCAGCGAUAUUACAGGGAA